Molecule: ribosomal RNA, 406 nt
Filed under: uncultured bacterium
Lineage: Bacteria
Description: partial 16S ribosomal RNA
Rfam family: Bacterial small subunit ribosomal RNA
Source: RNAcentral
AUUGAACGCUGGCGGCAGGCCUAACACAUGCAAGUCGAACGAGUGGCGGACGGGUGAGUAAUGUCUCGGAAUCUGCCUGAUGGAGGGGGAUAACUACUGGAAACGGUAGCUAAAACCGCAUACCUUCGGAUGCGCCCAGGUGGGAUUAGCUAGUAGGUGGGGUAAAGGACCACCAAGGCGACGGUCCCUACUUGGUCUGAGAGGAUGACCAGCAACACGGGAACGGAGACACGGUACAGACUCCUACGGGAGGCAGGCGUGGGGAAUAUUGCACAAUGGGCGAAAGCCUGAUGGAGCCAUGCCGGGUGUAUGAAGAAGGUCUUCGGGUUGUAAAGCACUUUCAGCGGGGAGGCGUUACCCGCAGAAGAAGCACCGGCUAACUCCGUGCCAGCAGCCGCGGUAAUAC